Molecule: long non-coding RNA, 3014 nt
Organism: Mercenaria mercenaria
Lineage: Eukaryota; Metazoa; Mollusca; Bivalvia; Venerida; Veneridae
Exons: 3
Source: RefSeq, a predicted model, not a curated record
UGGCGGAGAGCUAUAUUUGCCACGAGUUUUUAGUGUCAUUGUCGUGUUAUAUCAAUGGUUUAUCGUUAGGAAUCAUAAUAAAUGAUUGCAGAAGACGAACUUUGUGUAUAUUUAUCAGAUUCAGGUUGCAUUGAUCUUAAUUCGUACUCGAAACCUGUUGUUUUUGUUUACGUGAAUUGAAACUGAAAGUUAAACGGUGUUAAACAGUGUGUUAAACAUUUAAAACAACGUGUGUUAUUCUGAAUACACAUUCAGGGACUACGGAAAAAUAUGAGCGACAGAUCUCUGGAGAAAAUUUGUUGACAAUUAUUUCAGCAAUCGAAGUUACCGUUUAUUUUCCACAGGCACAGGCAUUUCCCCAAAUGGUAGGAGAAUUUUGAUAGAGAUUCUGCAUAUGACAGACUACAAUAUAUUAAGGAGCAGUAGCGAAGUUAUCAACCAUUGUAUUCUAGUGUCUGUAGGACAACUACACAAGGACUUUUUCAACAAUGAAAGCUGCCCACACUCAGCAAAAUGACUUGAACAUAAAAAGGCUAAGCAUGUAUAUGCCGAUACUUCAUUCAACAUGUUCCACUCAAAGGAAAUGCUGCCUUUGCUCAACAAUAAUGAGAGUAUAUCUGAAAGUACUGUAUUACUACACUUGUGUAAGAAUGAGUAAUUUUAGAAACAAAAUGUAGAAUCAGCUUCAAUUUCGAACAAAAGAACUUCGAGAAAGAAUUUUAACACAGAUAAAGUGGCAUGAACAAAGUCGAACCCUUUGUGGCGAUGGAGGAAAUGAGACUGUCGGGAAAGUUUACCAGACAUAAAUGCUUACAAGUGAGGUCAACUAAUCAGCUCCUACUUCUCUCGUUUUCAUCAACUCGAAAAGACAACAGAUGUUGAAGAUUAUGACUCGGAUGUUAAAGAAGAUGGAAAGAAAGCUAUCCGGUCAAAAAGUUCUUUCAAGUCUCAAUUGACAGCACCCACUAAAGACAAAAUAUGACUACUUCCAUGGCUGACAAUUUAAAGUUAGCAGAAGACUUAAGAAAUAAUUUAUAGCAAAACCGUUUUUUACUUUGUUUUUUUUUUCACAGUGGGAGUUUUAGGUCAAGCAAUAGCAGUUAUUUCAUAUAACAUUUAACAGUCAGAUUGUAUAGUGUUUAAACACGUCUUGCUAGAAGUUAUUGCUAUUCUAAUAUAUCUGGUAUGUAAAAGUUAUAUCAAACAUGACGGAACUGUUUAUUUUGCACAUGUAUAAUGUGUAUGGCACCAAAUGUUAGGUCGUCACAUUCUUUGUCAGUACCAGAAAUGGUAUGCAUACACAUUGAACUGGCGUUUCCAAUGUUGGCAAAACCCAUUUGAUAUUCCCCAUGCCAGAUGAAUUCGUGCUGUUAAUGACAACUAAAGAUUCAUGCACAUACAUCGUUUAUGUAAAAUUCGAAAAAGUCAGAUAUAUUGAUAGUUUCUCUACGUUCCUUGUAGUAUAUUUCUUGAUUCAAAAGAUGUUACUUUGUGGUGAUAACACAACGUUACACUACAAAUGAUAAAGCUAAAAUAGAACUUUAUUAUUGUGCAUCACUGAAAGGUCAUGACAUCACUUCUGCUCACAGACAUCUAUUUCUCGCACUUUACAAACUUUAAGAAAGAGUGCUACAAAGAAAGUAUUUCUAUUUGCUUUAUCUAUUUUUUUAUUUGUAAAAUACUGUGUGCAUGGAAACUAGUCUGUCAGAAUAUAAAACUUUUAUGUACAAGACAAGCAAGAAAAACCUUAAGUCAUGUGUUUAAAAUUCAGAUAGAAAUAUCCGUCCCUCGGCCACCUGAGCAUGGGUGCAUGGUAACGAGGAUUGUAGAGUUAACGCCCAGUGUGCAGGUGCCCUCGGGACGGAUAUUUCUAUCUGAUUCGUAUAAUAAAUGACAUAUAUCAUUAAUACAUCUUGCAGAAUAGUUCCAUUAAGGCGCAAAUGAAAGAGAAAGCAUACAGAAAAUAACUAGCUCAGGGUAUGUGUAAAUUAAUCAAGAAAGUUGUGUUUUGUGAAAUUAAUCAAGAAAGUUGUGUUUUGUGAUAUUUUGUUUAAAAACAUGUUUUCUAAGUAAAAUAUUUUAUCAAAUUUGAAGCGCUGGUUCUUGAUAAAUACAUGGUGCUCCAUUGAAGUGACAUCAGCAUUAACAUAGAAACAUUAUGAAGGGGUUAUACCCAAGCAGAAUAAUUUCACAAGGGCCUAGCCAAAUAACACUGCAUGUAAUAGUUUAGUUUUAUUAGCUCACCUGUCACGUAGUGACAGGGUGAGCUUUUGUGAUUGCCCUUCGUCCAUCCACAAUUUCUUAUCUGCACGAUAGUGGUUUCAUUCAUGAUUUUAUCUUAACCAAACUUGCACACAUUUUGUAUCACCAUUAGAUCUUGGUUCCUUUCUGGAACUGACCAGAUCUUGUUAUGGGUUCCAGGGUUUUGGCCCCUGAAAGGGCCAAAAUUAGCUAUUUUGACCUUGUCUGCGCAAUAGCAGCUUCAUUUAUGAUUUGAUUUUAACCAAACUUGCACACGACUUGUAUCACCGCAAGAUCUUGAUUCUUUUGUUGAACUUGCCAGAUUCCAGUAUGGGUUCCAGAGUUACGGCCCCUGAUAGGGCCAGAAUCAGCUAUUUUGACCUUGUCUGCACAAUAGCAGCUUCGUUUAUGAUUUGAAUUUAAUCAAACUUGCAUAAAAACUUGUGUCACCAUAUUAAGAUCUUGGUUCUUUUCUUGAACCGGCCAGAUCCCAUUUUGGGUUCCAGAGUUAUGACCCCUGCAAGGGUCAAAAUUAGCUAUUUUGACUUUGUCUGCACAAUAGCAGCUUCAUUUAUGAUUUGUUUUUAACCAAGUUUGCACACAGCUUGUAUCACCAUAAGAUUUCAGUUCCUUUUUAUACGCCCUAAGAGACGUAUUAUGUUACCGCCUCGGUGUCUGGUCCCAUUAUUCAAUAAAUUCUUCGAAUAGUCGAGCACGCUGUCAUCAGUCAGCUCUUGUAUUUGGCAGAUUCUUCUUUCGUUCACUUACAACAU